RNAcentral lists this long non-coding RNA (247 nucleotides) under Ananas comosus (pineapple). RNAcentral describes it as "long non-coding RNA (ACOM_LNC037559)". The record is from RNAcentral. Lineage: Eukaryota; Viridiplantae; Streptophyta; Magnoliopsida; Poales; Bromeliaceae.
AAUCGCAUUAUUUUAUGCGAUUUCGGCGCUUUUAUGGUCCGACAACGUAAACCAGAGGUCAAACAGCCAAGACGAGACUCUCUCUGACUGGUCUCGGCGUGCUGGAGGCCGUGCUCACCUUUCGGAGCACUGCCGGCCACUGUGGCACGCGCACGGGCGAUGCAAAAUUAGUGAAACAGCGCGCACAGUAGGAAAAGCAUGCUUAUCUCGCUAACCAGGGGCUCGUUGACCCUAAGUGAGGUGAGCA